Molecule: small nucleolar RNA, 108 nt
Organism: Rhododendron vialii
Lineage: Eukaryota; Viridiplantae; Streptophyta; Magnoliopsida; Ericales; Ericaceae
Product: small nucleolar RNA snoR100
Exons: 1
Source: RefSeq, a predicted model, not a curated record
CAAUGAAGGAAACAUGGUAAUGUGCACAUAAAUUGAAUUAGGUCUCUAGACCUGCCCUAUCUGAUGUCAUUUGGCUUUGAUUUAGGGGCAUGAUUCCGCAGUAAAACA